RNAcentral lists this ribosomal RNA (458 nucleotides) under uncultured eukaryote. RNAcentral's name for it is "bacterial SSU rRNA". It matches the Rfam family "Eukaryotic small subunit ribosomal RNA", at positions 592 to 1013 of the family's 1831-position model. The record is from RNAcentral.
CAAUAGCGUAUACUAAAGUUGUUGCAGUUAAAAGCUCGUAGUCGAAUACGGAUUUUCGCAUGCGGUUUCUCUAAGGUGAAAGUCUCAAGAGAAAUGUGCAAGUAAAAUCCAAACAUGUUAUCUUUUUUUCUUAAUUUUAUUGUCUUUUAAUUUUAUAUUGAAAACAAAAAAUUUGAUAAAAUUAGUGGCAUCAUUUACUGUGAACAAAAUAGAGUGUUCAUGGCAGGCCUUUUAUGGCUUAUAUACCUCAGCAUGGAAUAAUAGAAUAGGACUUCCGGUUCCAUUUUAUUGGUUUUUAGAGCCGAAGUAAUGAUUAAUAGGGAUAGUUGGGGGCACCCGUACUCCGUUGUCAGAGGUGAAAUUCUUGGAUUUACGGAAGACGAACAACUGCGAAAGCAUCUGCCAAGGAUGUUUUCAUUGAUCAAGAACGAAAGUUAGGGGAUCGAAGACGAUUAGAU